AUGGACAGGAGAUACGUUUGCAGGCCCAAACCGCCUAACCUAUACUCAAAAGAUUAUUUAUUUUGACUCAAUACUUAACCCGCCCGACAUAACAAGACUGCUUACCUGAAUCCAUCAUUGCAUUAGAUUUUUCAAAAGUUGUUCUCGGAAUAGUUCGAUAUGGGUUUUGAAACAUAAUUCUUCCAGUUCUACCCUCGUGGAUUGUAGGGUUCCGGGGGAAGAAAGAGAGAAAGGGAAAGCUGAUGGGGUUGCAGCGGCGCCACGGCCCUACGGCGCGUCACCUCCUCCUCUGUUUCUUUACCUUUUAGUUACACAGCUCGCUCUUCUUUAGCUCGGUGUUCUACGACUUUUGUGAACGGCAUUAAUGGCGUCUCAUGGCGGCGAUGGUCGUUGGUUGCUUGCCAGGGUUGAUAUUGUUGUUCUGUUGCUACUUCAAGUUAGAAUAGGAGUUUUUUUUUUCAACCCUAUGCAGUUGAUUCAGGCGUUGUAGAGGAUAUUUUAGGUUGUGAUUCAAGUUGACAUUUAGUUAGCAAGUAAUCCGACAAGUCAUACUCUACAUUGAAUCCAUAGUUGCUACGUACAAUGUAAUUAAUCAGGUGUUGCUUGGCGAGAUCCAAAGAGUAUCCUCGAGGGAAGGUAGGGCUGCCAUUAAACUUCAUUGAUAAUGGGUUUUUCAACAGUGUAUGACAUCAGAUUAUGAUGCAAUAUCCACCAUAUUUGAUGUUCAUAAAUAUGCCAAAACACCAAAAGAUGCAGUUGCAGAAGUGGUUAAAGCAGGUGACAGAGGAUGGACGACAAAGAAAUAUAAACUCUUAGGCUGGAAGGAGCUAUACCACCAAUAGAAGUCCAACUUCUACGCUGCUGGAUUCCCGCCUUUAGAGACGUCAAAACAUGUUACACACUGGUCAACUGACAGGCGUUUAAGGUUGCUUCUAUUGUGUUGGCUCCGGGUCCGGGUCCUCAACACCUCCCUUCUUUGCCUCUACAACACUAGAGCACGUGUCCUUCUUUCAAGGCCUUCAACCUGGACUAUAUCAACAAUUUUAGCUCAAGGCAGUUGCAAACUUUUUAUCUGGAGUUAUCACCAGCAAAGAGAGUACUAAAGUAUACGCAACCUAUGGUAAAUGCAGUUGAAAAGUCAGAAAUGCUAAAACAUCAUGACAAAGAAGGUGGGGACCUUGACGUUACAUGUCGAACUCACGUCACGAUUAUAAGUCACGAGAAUCAGUUGGUGAUUUAACACCAGAAUUCUACAAUGACAUCCUCUUCUUUGUUGUAAUCGACAUAUUAGAAGAUUUUGACAUCAGCAAAAAAGCUUGAGCACGCC
Molecule: long non-coding RNA, 1327 nt
Organism: Helianthus annuus (common sunflower)
Lineage: Eukaryota; Viridiplantae; Streptophyta; Magnoliopsida; Asterales; Asteraceae
Exons: 8
Source: RefSeq, a predicted model, not a curated record